Molecule: ribosomal RNA, 508 nt
Filed under: uncultured bacterium
Lineage: Bacteria
Description: bacterial SSU rRNA
Rfam family: Bacterial small subunit ribosomal RNA
Source: RNAcentral
GCCGCACUAGUGAUUAGAGUUUGAUCCUGGCUCAGGACGAACGCUGGCGGCAUGCUUAACACAUGCAAGUCGAACGGAGCACCCCUGAACGAGGUUUCGGCCGAAGUGACGGGAAUGCUUAGUGGCGGACGGGUGAGUAACGCGUGAGCAACCUGCCUUGAAGUGGGGGACAACAGUUGGAAACGACUGCUAAUACCGCAUAAUAUAUCUGAGUCGCAUGGCUUGGAUAUCAAAGAUUUAUCGCUUCAAGAUGGGCUCGCGUCUGAUUAGGUAGUUGGCGGGGUAACGGCCCACCAAGCCGACGAUCAGUAGCCGGACUGAGAGGUUGAACGGCCACAUUGGGACUGAGAUACGGCCCAGACUCCUACGGGAGGCAGCAGCGGGGAAUAUUGGGCAAUGGGCGCAAGCCUGACCCAGCAAUGCCGCGUGAAGGAAGAAGGCUUUCGGGUUGUAAACUUCUUUGACAGGGGAAGAGCAGAAGACGGUACCCUGAAAACAAGCCACGGCU